CCAAGAAUCGGACCUGAGACCUGAUGGGGAACGGGCCGACACCCUAAGCACCAAGCUUAGGGCAAGCAGGUUGGAUUUAUUCUCACUGUGAACGUUUCGUGGUUGUCCCCCGCGUCCUGGAAACAAAGUGCUUCAGCACAGACAUCAUCUCUGAAGGAGGAAGUGUUUUUUUACAUCCAAAGUUUGUAAACAUUUUGAAUAUUGUUCCUGCUGAGAUAUUUGUUCUAAGCUUACAGUUUGUGACUGCCGAGGUUGUUCUGCUAGUGUUGUGUAGUCUAUACAGAAUUUCGGCUAAUUCGAGUAAGCGGUUCUGUGGCUACUGUGAGACUUGGGCACUGUUCCAGGCCCCCUUUGACCCCCUCUGAUGUGGAACAACCUCAGUAGCCUCAGGCCAACUGUUCUGCCAGAUGUUUUUAGGUGGAUUCUAGAAUGUUCCUUCUGUAGAGUCAAAACAUAUCCUGAUUUUCCAAGCUCAGAGGCCUAUACCAAAAACUGCCACUUUUUCAAAUGCACUUAAUUUCUUUUUGUAAAAGGAGGAAUACUGAAGAUACUUCAGAGAACAAAUUUUCCGUCGGCGGGGCUGCUGUUCCAAGUUUGGUGUUCAUAAGCACCAAAAUAAUUAAAUAUGAUAGCCUGUGCUCCCAUGUAUUCUUUUAACGAGGGGCUUCCCUCCAUAAAAUGUGUUCUUUUGAAGAGGAAGUUUUACAGUACCUAUAUUCAGUCAUCCUGUAGGGAGACGAAUGUAAAGCUUGUUAGCAUGCUGUGUUACAAAAAUGUGCUUUGACUUGUAUUUCAGAAACUUAAAAAAAAUAAAAUGUUGAGAGAAUCUAAAACAAACAAAAAAAACCAAAAAACUUACUGGAAAUGCCAGCAAGUGUGAUGGAGUGGGAUUCCAGUCACGGAACACGUGCAGCUGUUGGCCAUGCGGAGCUACACAGAGUCGCCAAUCUCACCAUUGGCAGAGGCGGGGCCAAGAGCAGCCACAGCCACAGCCACAGCCACACAGCCACAGCCAUAGCCACAGCAAGACUGGUCCCACGUGCUUCGGUCCCAGUUCCUAAAAUUAACCCUUAUCCUGCAGCUCCACGUGACGGCAUUUCCUGCCCUUGCUUUUGACUUGAUCAGUGGAUCCCUUCCAACCAGUAACCUCUUCAUGUUGGUUGGGACUGACACGCACCAACCAAGCUCCCACGAUCCAGGCUGGCUCAUUGAUGGGUCAAAAUUUCAGUUAAUUGGUUGACUACGAGAAAUCGAACAACUAUGGACCCUGGAACAUUUGGGCUGAUGAUGGAUCUCCCUGCUUAUCGGCCACUUGGACCUCAGUUUCCUCAUCUACAAAAUGGGAAGAUAUAGGAACCCAUCUGGGGAGUUACUGUAAGAGUUAAAUGAGAUGAAUAGCAAAGCACUUGCUUUAUUUCCCUGUCUCCUCGUUUACUGACCUCCCACCUAACAGGGGUACAUGGAAAACCCAAGCAGGGUGGACUCAGGAACCAGCAGCCCCGGUUCACUCGAAGCUCCAGUCCCAUCUCUGCCCCAACCUGGCCGGGUGCCAGUAGGAAAAUCCCUUUUGCAUCUCUGGGCUUCGUUUCUUCCUCUUAAAGGGAGGGUCCCCUGUCCCACCAUCCACCCACACAGCUCUUCCAGCCCAGACCUUCUGGCUGCUUGUCACACCACCAUUCAUUAGGUUCUUACAUAUUCCUGGGGGUUUGAGACACACCCAGAUCUCUGUGAUACACACUCUGAUCUCACAGGAUUCCUUGGCUUGCUUGCAUCUCUAGACAGGAGAGGCGGCUCGGGUCAUGCUCAAGGUUGACGACUAACUACAUUAUCCGGAGCCGAGGCUGGUGGCACAUUUGUGAAGACACAACCCCCUCCCCACCCAUAUUACCUUAUCUUUAUCGAAACUUUAGAAGAAUUGGAGCCAAAGCAUUUCCCAUGUUCAUUGUUUUCCGGACUGAGGCUUACAAGGAUGCCACCCAAUCUCUACAGUGUUGUUCAGACGAAUACUUCUGGGAAACAGUUUAGUUGGGUGGUACAGAUAACUGCAUCUAAAAGUCAUUUUAGCCUCCUGAGCAAUUCUCCAUGGUUCAUUCUUGCCUAGGUUUUAUUAAAAUAAGAUUUGUGCCCCCCCCCCCAUGAUAAAAGUAGUGCAGAUUCACCAUAAAGUAUCUAGGAAGUACACACUAGCACGAAGAAAUACAUGAAAACUACCCACGUCCCACUCAGACAACCACUGCCAACAUUCUGAUGGGUCCCUCUGCAGGAAAACAUAUGAUGUUUAUACAGAAAAAUGCACAACACUAAUUGCGUAUAGUAACAAUAUUUUCAUGUAUGGAUGUGUAUGUUUUUCUUUUACAAAUUUCAUUUCAUGUAAAACUUAUUUUGUUGCCCAGCUGGUCUGGCUCGGUGGUUGCACAUCAACCUAUGAACCAGGAGGUCAUGGUUCAAUUCCCAAUCAGGGCACACGUCCUUGGUUGCAGGCUCAAUCCCCAGUAGGGGGCGUGCAGGAAGCAGCCGAUUGAUGAUUCUCAGCAUUGAUGUUUCUCUCUCUCUCCCUCUCCCUUUCUCUCUGAAAUCAAUAAAAGUAUAUAUUUAAAACAACAAACUGAUUUUAUCACAAUUCUAUCACUUGAUUAAUAACAUUCUAGAGCAGUGGUUCUCAACCUUCCUAAUGCUGCGACCCUUUAAUACAGUUCAUGUUGUGGUGACCCCC
Myotis myotis is the source of this 2713-nucleotide long non-coding RNA. RefSeq lists it as uncharacterized. Lineage: Eukaryota; Metazoa; Chordata; Mammalia; Chiroptera; Vespertilionidae. The transcript is spliced from 3 exons. The record is from RefSeq and is a predicted model, not a curated record.